This 238-nucleotide long non-coding RNA is filed under the name Malus domestica (apple). Its description in RNAcentral is "long non-coding RNA (MDOM_LNC020441)". The record is from RNAcentral. Lineage: Eukaryota; Viridiplantae; Streptophyta; Magnoliopsida; Rosales; Rosaceae.
CACCGCAGCGGUCAUGUCAUUUUUCAUCACCGAAUCCCCAACGGUCAGAGGAUCAGUAGGGGAUAUGAGGGACGGGCGCCAUAUGUUGUCUGGAGAAGGAGGGGCUGCUCUUUCACCAAGGUUCAAGUCAAAACGACGGUCGGAAGGGCCAUACAUUUUUCAGAGGUGUUAAAGAAAGAGGAGAUCGGACAAGUCAAGAUCGUAGAAGUGCAAAACGGGAGUUUUUAUAGGCAGAAAU